AGAGUUUGAUCAUGGCUCAGGAUGAACGCUAGCUACAGGCUUAACACAUGCAAGUCGAGGGGAAACGACAUCGAAAGCUUGCUUUUGAUGGGCGUCGACCGGCGCACGGGUGAGUAACGCGUAUCCAACCUGCCCACCACUUGGGGAUAACCUUGCGAAAGUAAGACUAAUACCCAAUGACGUCUCUAGAAGACAUCUGAAAGAGAUUAAAGAUUUAUCGGUGAUGGAUGGGGAUGCGUCUGAUUAGCUUGUUGGCGGGGUAACGGCCACCAAGGCGACGAUCAGUAGGGGUUCUGAGAGGAAGGUCCCCCANAUUGGAACUGAGGGACACGGUCCAAACUCCUACGGGAGGCA
RNAcentral lists this ribosomal RNA (354 nucleotides) under uncultured bacterium. RNAcentral describes it as "bacterial SSU rRNA". It matches the Rfam family "Bacterial small subunit ribosomal RNA", at positions 8 to 350 of the family's 1533-position model. The record is from RNAcentral.